UACGUAGGGUCCGAGCGUUGUCCGGAAUUACUGGGCGUAAAGAGCUCGUAGGUGGUUUGUCGCGUUGUCCGUGAAAACUCACAGCUCAACUGUGGGCGUGCGGGCGAUACGGGCAGACUGGAGUACUGCAGGGGAGACUGGAAUUCCUGGUGUAGCGGUGGAAUGCGCAGAUAUCAGGAGGAACACCGGUGGCGAAGGCGGGUCCCUGGACAACACCUGACACUAAGGCACGAAAGCUAGGGGAGCAAACAGG
This 253-nucleotide ribosomal RNA is filed under the name uncultured bacterium. Its description in RNAcentral is "partial 16S ribosomal RNA". It matches the Rfam family "Bacterial small subunit ribosomal RNA", at positions 524 to 776 of the family's 1533-position model. The record is from RNAcentral.